Molecule: ribosomal RNA, 497 nt
Filed under: uncultured bacterium
Lineage: Bacteria
Description: partial 16S ribosomal RNA
Rfam family: Bacterial small subunit ribosomal RNA
Source: RNAcentral
GAUGAACGCUGGCGGCGUGCCUAAUACAUGCAAGUCGAGCGAACAGACGAGGAGCUUGCUCCUCUGACGUUAGCGGCGGACGGGUGAGUAACACGUGGAUAACCUACCUAUAAGACUGGGAUAACUUCGGGAAACCGGAGCUAAUACCGGAUAAUAUAUUGAACCGCAUGGUUCAAUAGUGAAAGACGGUUUUGCUGUCACUUAUAGAUGGAUCCGCGCCGCAUUAGCUAGUUGGUAAGGUAACGGCUUACCAAGGCAACGAUGCGUAGCCGACCUGAGAGAGUGAUAGGCCACACUGGAACUGAGACACGGUCCAGACUACUACGGGAGGCAGCAGUAGGGAAUCUUCCGCAAUGGGCGAAAGCCUGACGGAGCAACGCCGCGUGAGUGAUGAAGGUCUUCGGAUCGUAAAACUCUGUUAUUAGGGAAGAACAAAUGUGUAAGUAACUAUGCACGUCUUGACGGUACCUAAUCAGAAAGCCACGGCUAACUACGUG